GUGGGACUAUCAUGUCAUCUGUGUACAGAAGAAGAGAAAUGAGAACUCUUCGUCACUAGUGUGGGAUUUAGAUUCAAGUCUUCUGUUUCCAUCAUCUCUUGGCACUUAUGUCGCUGACAGCAUUCGUCCAUCAAUUCAGAUAUUUUCAGAAUUCAAAAGGUUUUUUCGAGUUGUGCAUGCCCCUAUAUUCCUCCGACACUUCGCAUCAGAUAGAAGACAUAUGAAGGAUUCUGCUGGAAACUGGACUGCAGACCCGCCAUCAUAUGAAGCUAUUGUUGCUGAAGAUGGAGCUGUACACAACCUGAACGAGUACAUUACAGUCUCUCCCGAUGAUGUAGUGAAGAAUGUGGAAGCUGAUACCGUCAAUGUUGUUCUCUCCGAGAAACUUGGUGUAGU
Molecule: unclassified non-coding RNA, 396 nt
Filed under: Hevea brasiliensis (rubber tree)
Lineage: Eukaryota; Viridiplantae; Streptophyta; Magnoliopsida; Malpighiales; Euphorbiaceae
Source: RNAcentral